UACGUAGGUGACUAGCGUUGUCCGGAUUUACUGGGCGUAAAGAGCGCGCAGGCGGUCGUUCAAGUCGAGUGUGAAAGCCCCCGGCUCAACCGGGGAGGGUCGUCGGGGACUGGUUGGCUUGAGGGCGGUAGGGGCCGGUGGAAUUCCCGGUGUAGUGGUGAAAUGCGUAGAGAUCGGGAGGAACACCAGUGGCGAAGGCGGCCGGCUGGGCCGACCCUGACGCUGAGGCGCGAAGGCGUGGGGAGCGAACGGG
Molecule: ribosomal RNA, 253 nt
Filed under: uncultured bacterium
Lineage: Bacteria
Description: partial 16S ribosomal RNA
Rfam family: Bacterial small subunit ribosomal RNA
Source: RNAcentral